Molecule: ribosomal RNA, 274 nt
Filed under: uncultured prokaryote
Description: partial 16S ribosomal RNA
Rfam family: Bacterial small subunit ribosomal RNA
Source: RNAcentral
UACGGAGGAUCCGAGCGUUGUCCGGAAUUAUUGGGCGUAAAGGGUUCGCAGGCGGCCUUGUAAGUCAGAUGUGAAAGACAGCGGCUUAACCGUUGUAAGCAUUUGAAACUGCAGGGCUUGAGUACAGGAGAGGAAAGCGGAAUUCCUAGUGUAGCGGUGAAAUGCGUAGAUAUUAGGAGGAACACCAGUGGCGAAGGCGGCUUUCUGGACUGAUACUGACGCUGAGGAACGAAAGCGUGGGGAGCAAACAGGAUUAGAUACCCCGGUAGUCCCU